This 192-nucleotide ribosomal RNA is filed under the name uncultured Neisseriales bacterium. RNAcentral's name for it is "partial 16S ribosomal RNA". It matches the Rfam family "Bacterial small subunit ribosomal RNA", at positions 140 to 334 of the family's 1533-position model. Lineage: Bacteria; Pseudomonadati; Pseudomonadota; Betaproteobacteria; Neisseriales. The record is from RNAcentral.
GGGAUAACUAAUCGAAAGAUUAGCUAAUACCGCAUAUUCUCUGAGGAGGAAAGCAGGGGACCUUCGGGCCUUGCGUUAUUCGAGCGGCCGAUAUCUGAUUAGCUAGUUGGUGGGGUAAAGGCCUACCAAGGCGACGAUCAGUAGCGGGUCUGAGAGGAUGAACGGCCACGUUGGGACUGAGACACGGCCCAG